Molecule: ribosomal RNA, 433 nt
Filed under: uncultured bacterium
Lineage: Bacteria
Description: partial 16S ribosomal RNA
Rfam family: Bacterial small subunit ribosomal RNA
Source: RNAcentral
UAGGGAAUCUUCCACAAUGGACGCAAGUCUGAUGGAGCAACGCCGCGUGAGUGAAGAAGGCUUUCGGGUCGUAAAACUCUGUUAUUGAAGAAGAACGUGCGUGACAGUAACUGGUCAUGCAGUGACGGUAUUCAAUCAGAAAGUCACGGCUAACUACGUGCCAGCAGCCGCGGUAAUACGUAGGUGGCAAGCGUUGUCCGGAUUUAUUGGGCGUAAAGCGAGUGCAGGCGGUCUUUUAAGUCUGAUGUGAAAGCCUUCGGCUUAACCGAAGAAGGGCAUCGGAAACUGGGAGACUUGAGUGCAGAAGAGGAGAGUGGAACUCCAUGUGUAGCGGUGAAAUGCGUAGAUAUAUGGAAGAACACCAGUGGCGAAGGCGGCUCUCUGGUCUGUAACUGACGCUGAGGCUCGAAAGCGUGGGUAGCAAAACAGGAUU